GCGGCAGUGGUGGAACGGUAGACACGCUACCUUGAGGGGGUAGUGCCCUAUGGGUGUGGAGGUUCAAAUCCUCUCUGCCGCACCA
RNAcentral lists this transfer RNA (85 nucleotides) under Campylobacterota bacterium. RNAcentral's name for it is "Epsilonproteobacteria bacterium tRNA-Leu". It matches the Rfam family "tRNA". Rfam says of the family: Transfer RNA (tRNA) molecules are approximately 80 nucleotides in length. Their secondary structure includes four short double-helical elements and three loops (D, anti-codon, and T loops). Further hydrogen bonds mediate the characteristic L-shaped molecular structure. tRNAs have two regions of fundamental functional importance: the anti-codon, which is responsible for specific mRNA codon recognition, and the 3' end, to which the tRNAs corresponding amino acid is attached (by aminoacyl-tRNA synthetases). tRNAs cope with the degeneracy of the genetic code in two manners: having more than one tRNA (with a specific anti-codon) for a particular amino acid; and 'wobble' base-pairing, i.e. permitting non-standard base-pairing at the 3rd anti-codon position. Lineage: Bacteria; Pseudomonadati; Campylobacterota. RNAcentral also lists the same sequence under 1 other name. The record is from RNAcentral.